This 534-nucleotide ribosomal RNA is filed under the name Triticum aestivum (bread wheat). RNAcentral's name for it is "partial small subunit ribosomal RNA". Lineage: Eukaryota; Viridiplantae; Streptophyta; Magnoliopsida; Poales; Poaceae. The record is from RNAcentral.
ACUUGCUCGUGUAGAUAUUGGCAGCUGUCAGGUUUACCCUGCUGCCAUGCCAUUAGUGCUAUCUAUAAAACAGGACAGAAAAUUGAUGAUUAUAUUGCUCCUUGCUACUCCAUAGAAGUGUACAACAAGAUAUAUGAUCAUUGCUUACAACCUUUGGAGGGAGAGGAGAGUUGGCCUAUUUCAACAAAUCCAAAGCCACAACCACCUAGUCACAUUAGCUUGCCUGGAAGGCCUAAAACAGAAAGAAGGAGAGAGGAAGGAGAAAAACCUAAGGGUACUAAGAUGAGCAAAGUAGGUGGCAAGAUCACUUGUAGUUCUUGCAAAAGGCAAGGACAUAAUAGAUCAAGCUGUAAGAACAAUGAUGGAGCUAAACAUCAUGGAAAUGCUCAUUUGGUCAGAGAAGCUGCAAAACAAAAGAAGCAAGACAAAGAGGCUUUUGAUGCUCUUCAGACACAGAAAGCUAUGCUUGAAAAGCAGGUUAAGAUGACACUUGUUAGUACUAAUGAAAAAUUGGUUGCUUUUUGUUUCUACUAA